This 253-nucleotide ribosomal RNA is filed under the name uncultured bacterium. Its description in RNAcentral is "partial 16S ribosomal RNA". It matches the Rfam family "Bacterial small subunit ribosomal RNA", at positions 524 to 776 of the family's 1533-position model. The record is from RNAcentral.
UACGGGGGGUGCGAGCGUUGUCCGGAUUCACUGGGCGUAAAGGGCUCGUAGGCGGUCUGUUGCGUCGGGAGUGAAAACUCAGGGCUUAACCCUGAGCCUGCUUCCGAUACGGGCAGACUAGAGGUAUGCAGGGGGGAACGGAAUUCCUGGUGUAGCGGUGAAAUGCGCAGAUAUCAGGAGGAACACCGGUGGCGAAGGCGGUUCUCUGGGCAUUACCUGACGCUGAGGAGCGAAAGUGUGGGGAGCGAACAGG